This 492-nucleotide ribosomal RNA is filed under the name uncultured bacterium. RNAcentral describes it as "partial 16S ribosomal RNA". It matches the Rfam family "Bacterial small subunit ribosomal RNA", at positions 28 to 507 of the family's 1533-position model. The record is from RNAcentral.
GAUGAACGCUAGCUACAGGCUUAACACAUGCAAGUCGAGGGGAAACGGCAUUGAGUGCUUGCACUCUUUGGACGUCGACCGGCGCACGGGUGAGUAACGCGUAUCCAACCUUCCCAUUACUGUGGGAUAACCUGCCGAAAGGCAGACUAAUACCGCAUAGUCUUCGAUGACGGCAUCAGAUUUGAAGUAAAGAUUUAUCGGUAAUGGAUGGGGAUGCGUCUGAUUAGCUUGUUGGCGGGGUAACGGCCCACCAAGGCUACGAUCAGUAGGUGUUCUGAGAGGAAGGUCCCCCACAUUGGAACUGAGACACGGUCCAAACUCCUACGGGAGGCAGCAGUGAGGAAUAUUGGUCAAUGGACGGAAGUCUGAACCAGCCAAGUAGCGUGCAGGAUGACGGCCCUAUGGGUUGUAAACUGCUUUUGUAUGGGGAUAAGGUUAGGGACGUGUCCCUAUUUGCAGGUACCAUACGAAUAAGGACCGGCUAAUUCCGUG